Molecule: ribosomal RNA, 465 nt
Filed under: uncultured bacterium
Lineage: Bacteria
Description: partial 16S ribosomal RNA
Rfam family: Bacterial small subunit ribosomal RNA
Source: RNAcentral
GACGAGCGCUGGCGGCGUGCUUAACACAUGCAAGUCGAACGGAAAGGCCCUGCUUGCAGGGUACUCGAGUGGCGAACGGGUGAGUAACACGUGGGUGAUCUGCCCUGCACUUCGGGAUAAGCCUGGGAAACUGGGUCUAAUACCGGAUAUGACCUUCCAUGUAGUGUGGGGGGUGGAAAGAUUUAUCGGUGUGGGAUGAGCCCGCGGCCUAUCAGCUUGUUGGUGGGGUAAUGGCCUACCAAGGCGUCGACGGGUAGCCGGCCUGAGAGGGUGGACGGCCACAUUGGGACUGAGAUACGGCCCAGACUCCUACGGGAGGCAGCAGUGGGGAAUAUUGCACAAUGGGCGGAAGCCUUAUGCAGCGACGCCGCGUGGGGGAUGACGGCCUUCGGGUUGUAAACCUCUUUCGACAGGGACGAAGCUUCGGUGACGGUACCUGUAUAAGAAGCACCGGCUAACUACGUG